CUCAACCCGGGAAUUGCAUCCGAUACUGGCGUGCUAGAGUGCAGUAGAGGGAGGUAGAAUUCCAGGUGUAGCGGUGAAAUGCGUAGAGAUCUGGAGGAAUACCAGUGGCGAAGGCGGCCUCCUGGACUGACACUGACGCUGAGGCGCGAAAGCGUGGGUAGCAAACAGGAUUAGAUACCCUGGUAGUCCACGCCGUAAACGAUGUCAACUAGUCGUUGGGUUCCAUUGAGAACUUGGUGACGCAGCUAACGCGCUAAGUUGACCGCCUGGGGAGUACGGCCGCAAGGUUAAAACUCAAAUGAAUUGACGGGGGCCCGCACAAGCGGUGGAGCAUGUGGUUUAAUUCGAUGCAACGCGAAGAACCUUACCAGGUCUUGACAUCCCCGGAACUUGGCAGAGAUGCCUUGGUGCCUUCGGGAGCCG
Molecule: ribosomal RNA, 423 nt
Filed under: uncultured Gammaproteobacteria bacterium
Lineage: Bacteria; Pseudomonadati; Pseudomonadota; Gammaproteobacteria
Description: bacterial SSU rRNA
Rfam family: Bacterial small subunit ribosomal RNA
Source: RNAcentral